AUACGGAGGGUGCAAGCGUUAUCCGGAUUUAUUGGGUUUAAAGGGUUCGUAGGCGGAUCAAUAAGUCAGUGGUGAAAGCCUGUGGCUCAACCAUAGAACUGCCAUUGAUACUGUUGAUCUUGAGUACACUUGAAGUGGGCGGAAUGCGUCAUGUAGCGGUGAAAUGCAUAGAUAUGACGCAGAACACCGAUUGCGAAGGCAGCUCACUAAAUUGUAACUGACGCUGAGGAACGAAAGCGUGGGGAGCGAACAGAAUUAGAUACCCUAGUAGUCC
Molecule: ribosomal RNA, 274 nt
Filed under: uncultured bacterium
Lineage: Bacteria
Description: partial 16S ribosomal RNA
Rfam family: Bacterial small subunit ribosomal RNA
Source: RNAcentral